GGCCGCAGUAAACUGACUGCGCUAAGGUAGCAAAAUCAUUAGUCUUUUUAUUGAAGGCUUGUAUAAAAGAUUUGACAAAGAAAGUCCUGUCUUAAUAAAAUUAAUAUAAUUUUAUUUUAAAGUAAAAAAGCUUUAAAAUUUUAAUAGGACGAUAAGACCCUAAAAUCUAUUAAUUAAUAUUAAAUAAAUUUAAGAUAAAUAAUAUACACAUAUAUUUAUCUCUAAUUAUAAGUGUAUAUAUUAUAAUAAUAAAAGUUAAUUAACUGGGGCGGUAAAUAUAAUAUAAACUAUAAAACUUUAAACAUUUUGCAUGAUUUUAUUUAACCUCUAUGAAUAAAAUAAGAUACUUUAGGGAUAACAGCAUAAUAUAUUUUAAGAGUUCUUAUCACCAAAUAUGUUUAUGACCUCGAUGUUGAAUUGAGAUUUCUAUCUUUAGAAGAUUAAAGUAUAGUCAGUCUGUUCGACUCUUAAUAUCUCACAUGAUUUGAGUUCAAACCGGC
RNAcentral lists this ribosomal RNA (500 nucleotides) under Alpioniscus velebiticus. RNAcentral describes it as "partial 16S ribosomal RNA". The stretch from base 354 to 500 matches the Rfam family "Bacterial large subunit ribosomal RNA", at positions 2473 to 2620 of the family's 2925-position model. Lineage: Eukaryota; Metazoa; Arthropoda; Malacostraca; Isopoda; Trichoniscidae. The record is from RNAcentral.